AACGAACGCUGGCGGCAGGCUUAACACAUGCAAGUCGAACGGAUCCUUCGGGAUUAGUGGCAGACGGGUGAGUAACGCGUGGGAACGUACCCUUUGCUACGGAAUAACUCAGGGAAACUUGAGCUAAUACCGUAUGUGCCCUACGGGGGAAAGAUUUAUCGGCAAAGGAUCGGCCCGCGUUGGAUUAGCUGGUUGGUGGGGUAAUGGCCUACCAAGGCGACGAUCCAUAGCUGGUCUGAGAGGAUGAUCAGCCGCACUGGGACUGAGACACGGCCCAGACUCCUACGGAAGGCAGCAGUGGGGAAUAUUGGACGAUGGGCGCAAGCCUGAUCCAGCCAUGCCGCGUGAGUGAUGAAGGUCUUAGGAUUGUAAAGCUCUUUCACCGGUGAAGAUAAUGACGGUAGCCGGAGAAGAAGCCCCAGCUAACUUCGUG
Molecule: ribosomal RNA, 433 nt
Filed under: uncultured bacterium
Lineage: Bacteria
Description: partial 16S ribosomal RNA
Rfam family: Bacterial small subunit ribosomal RNA
Source: RNAcentral